GGUUGUCUCUUGGAGUUCCUCUGAACACUUCACACGUGGGACUAGAGUAGUGGUAUUGUAUCCUUUAGAUCAUAGAAUAGUCCUCAUCAUCACCAAGUGAAGUGUUUGGGGGAACUUUUAGGUACAAC
RNAcentral lists this microRNA precursor (128 nucleotides) under Glycine max (soybean). Its description in RNAcentral is "miR395g stem-loop (gma-MIR395g)". Its record names the gene gma-MIR395g. It matches the Rfam family "mir-395 microRNA precursor family". Rfam says of the family: mir-395 was identified in both Arabidopsis thaliana and Oryza sativa computationally and was later experimentally verified. mir-395 is thought to target mRNAs coding for ATP sulphurylases. The mature sequence is excised from the 3' arm of the hairpin. Lineage: Eukaryota; Viridiplantae; Streptophyta; Magnoliopsida; Fabales; Fabaceae. The record is from miRBase by way of RNAcentral.